This 460-nucleotide ribosomal RNA is filed under the name uncultured bacterium. Its description in RNAcentral is "partial 16S ribosomal RNA". It matches the Rfam family "Bacterial small subunit ribosomal RNA", at positions 338 to 795 of the family's 1533-position model. The record is from RNAcentral.
CCUACGGGAGGCAGCAGUGAGGAAUAUUGGUCAAUGGACGAGAGUCUGAACCAGCCAAGUAGCGUGAAGGAUGACUGCCCUAUGGGUUGUAAACUUCUUUUAUAUGGGAAUAAAAUGUUCCACGUGUGGGAUUUUGUAUGUACCAUAUGAAUAAGGAUCGGCUAACUCCGUGCCAGCAGCCGCGGUAAUACGGCGGAUCCGAGCGUUAUCCGGAUUUCUUGGGUUUAAAGGGAGCGUAGGUGGAUUGUUAAGUCAGUUGUGAAAGUUUGCGGCUCAACCGUAAAAUUGCAGUUGAAACUGGCAGUCUUGAGUACAGUAGAGGUGGGCGGAAUUCGUGGGGUAGCGGUGAAAUGCUUAGAGAUCACGAAGAACUCCGAUUGCGAAGGCAGCUCACUGGACUGCAACUGACACUGAGGCUCGAAAGUGUGGGUAUCAAACAGGAUGAGAUACCCGAGUAGUC